This 94-nucleotide small RNA is filed under the name Escherichia coli. Its description in RNAcentral is "partial RtT sRNA". It matches the Rfam family "RtT RNA", at positions 1 to 92 of the family's 130-position model. From Rfam's summary of the family: This family represents a bacterial cis-regulatory element known as RtT RNA. The exact function of RtT is unknown although it is thought that it may be involved in changing the cellular response in relation to amino acid starvation. RNAcentral also lists the same sequence under 1 other name. The record is from RNAcentral. Lineage: Bacteria; Pseudomonadati; Pseudomonadota; Gammaproteobacteria; Enterobacterales; Enterobacteriaceae.
AUUCUGCCCAAGCGGGGAAGGAUGAGAAGCUUCGACCAAGGUUCGACUUGAGCGCCAGCGAGAGAGCGUUGCCGCAGGCAACGACCCGAAGGGC